CGUGAAGGGGGGAGUCCCUGGUCAUGGAGGGUUGCCUGAGUGAAGGAAGCAUCCUUUGUGUUCAGUAAUUUAUAAGGAGGACAGAAGGGUGACGUGACAGGCCUCCUCCCAGCAGGACACCAGAAGUGGUGGUGACAAGCAGCUCCAGGACACCUCCCAGUGUGCCCCCUUGCUGUGGUUCUGCUCUGGCAUGUGUUCGCUCUGCCCCAGGACUCUCAGUGCCUUGAGGAGGGUCACGUUAUGGCACGUGUGUUGCAGCAAAAAGGCGCUCCCAGCCCAUUUCCAUCUUCAGUUAUUUCAAUGCGCCCCAUCCCCAUUUGCCGCUUGGCAGCUCUUCCUUGUCUUCUGCGCAUGGCGGCGUGCCGGGAUGGUGCCGAGACGCUAG
Molecule: long non-coding RNA, 385 nt
Filed under: Apteryx rowi (Okarito brown kiwi)
Lineage: Eukaryota; Metazoa; Chordata; Aves; Apterygiformes; Apterygidae
Description: lncRNA (ENSARWG00000004770.1)
Source: RNAcentral